Molecule: ribosomal RNA, 217 nt
Filed under: Acinetobacter baumannii
Lineage: Bacteria; Pseudomonadati; Pseudomonadota; Gammaproteobacteria; Moraxellales; Moraxellaceae
Description: partial 23S ribosomal RNA
Rfam family: Bacterial large subunit ribosomal RNA
Source: RNAcentral
GUCGCAUCGCCGGGUAGCUAUGUUCGGAAGGGAUAACCGCUGAAAGCAUCUAAGCGGGAAGCCUACCUCAAGAUAAGAUUUCCCUAGGACUUUAUGUCCUCUAAAGAGCCGUUCGAGACUAGGACGUUGAUAGGUUGGAUGUGGAAGCAUAGUGAUAUGUGAAGCUGACCAAUACUAAUUGCUCGUGAGGCUUGACUAUACAACACCCAAGCAGUUG